This is a regulatory RNA element of Actinoplanes sp. SE50/110, 58 nucleotides long. It matches the Rfam family "Actino-pnp RNA". The record is from Rfam. Lineage: Bacteria; Bacillati; Actinomycetota; Actinomycetes; Micromonosporales; Micromonosporaceae.
ACCGGUCUCCGGUAGUGGUUCCCAGGCUCACUCCUGGGUACUUCGAUCGAAGACCGGC